RNAcentral lists this ribosomal RNA (292 nucleotides) under uncultured bacterium. RNAcentral's name for it is "partial 16S ribosomal RNA". It matches the Rfam family "Bacterial small subunit ribosomal RNA", at positions 505 to 796 of the family's 1533-position model. The record is from RNAcentral.
GUGUCAGCCGCCGCGGUAAAACGUAGGUGGCGAGCGUUAUCCGGAUUUACUGGGCGUAAAGCGUGUGCAGGCGGGAUGGUAAGUGGUGUAUGAAAUCUCCCAGCUUAACUGGGAGGGGUUAUGCCAGACUGCCAUUCUAGAGUGCGAGAGAGGAACGUGGAAUUCCGGGUGUAGUGGUGAAAUGCGUAGAGAUCCGGAGGAACCCCAGAGGCGAAGGCGGCGUUCUGGCUCGCAACUGACGCUCAGACACGACAGCAUGGGGAGCGAACGGGAUUAGAAACCCCGGUAGUCC